Danio rerio (zebrafish) is the source of this 341-nucleotide non-coding RNA. NCBI's taxonomy places the organism in Eukaryota, Metazoa, Chordata, Actinopteri, Cypriniformes, Danionidae. The record is from Ensembl.
CUGCUCGUGUGGAGGCGCAUACUCUCUGGCCGAGCAUCGGACUGUUUCUGCGGCGGAACACAAUGAGCUUCCGUGUUUCUGCUGCUCAGCCCUCUCACCGAGCCGUUACCGACACCGAGAGGCUGAUCCCGGUCCCUCAGCCCUCCAGCCGCUCAAUCCCCGCCGUGUGGAUCCGCAGGCCGGUGUUCGGGAGCGCAGCGGCGGAUAAACGUGUCUUUUGUUCGCGCUCCGCUAUUGUGCUGCUGCGCGUCUGAUGGCGGAUCCGCGUUCAUUCAGCAGCAGACGCGGGAAACGGGCCACAACCUCUGACAGGACGCUGACGCCAUCACAUGCGAUUCUGC